GCUGCCUUUAGGCUUCCCCGCCACACAGUACAAAGUUACUCUGUGUCCUUUUUCUCUGCUUACUACAGAGCCAUUUUCUGAGAACCAAUUCAUAACAAAGGAUUUGCGCUCGCCAGGGCCUGGGCCUAGACUGACGCCAUGGGCCUUUCCCCACCCUGAGAGCCUUUUGUUUGGUGCCCAAAGAAUUGCUCCAUUCAUUAUCCCCACAGAUGCUUGGCCCGAAGGCAGAAAGAGUCAGUAAAAACAACAAGAAGCUGAGUUCUCCGCCGGCCUAGGCUAUCAUUAUCUACACAAGAGAUGAUGAGUUUGUAAUGAAGUUGACGAGCCUUAUUCAGGCCCUCGCAGAUUGGCAAGAGGAUAAAAAUGAAGAUGUAUAGACUUGGAAUAACCCACAGUUUACCCCUUUGAAUCGUUCUCAUCAAGCAACAGAAAAGCCAUACUAUGAAGACGAUAGCUUGGUAAACCAAUGGUCCAUGAAAGAAAAGAAAGAGAAAAGAGGAAAAGAUGGGGGUGGAGGGAGAAAAGAAGAGAGAGAAAUCACUCAAGAUGGUCAACGUUGCCGCUUCCUGUUCAUUUUUCUGAUCUCUCACGAUCACCUUGACUCAGCAGAAUUUCAGCCAAAUAGAGGGAAGAAAAUAAAGACAUUGGAGAAAGCUUUGUUGAAGAUCCCCAG
This is a long non-coding RNA of Pogona vitticeps (central bearded dragon), 673 nucleotides long. RefSeq lists it as uncharacterized. Lineage: Eukaryota; Metazoa; Chordata; Lepidosauria; Squamata; Agamidae. The record is from RefSeq and is a predicted model, not a curated record.